Molecule: long non-coding RNA, 1563 nt
Organism: Peromyscus eremicus (cactus mouse)
Lineage: Eukaryota; Metazoa; Chordata; Mammalia; Rodentia; Cricetidae
Exons: 8
Source: RefSeq, a predicted model, not a curated record
CAGGGUUUGGUAGGGCAAGAGGGCAGGUGGGUGCAAUGUUUCUUCUUUUGAUGUGUUCUUGUCUUCACCUCAGGGACCUGGACGCCCUGCCUGUUGAGGCAAGGUUGUGGAUGUCCCGGGCCUUAUGGUCCCUGCUUCGCAUGAUGUGGGGCAGCAUCCAUCUGAACGCUCAUCACUACCAAGGCCAAGGUUUUGGAAGGAAGUCCUUCUUCUCCCAUCUUAGUAUUAGACCAUCGGAUUUGGGACACGGGACUAAGGCCGCUGACUCUGCAUCCCUUACAAGCAUACACAGCUGCCUGCCCUUUUGCCUUGUGUCCAUCCUGGAGCGGCCUUCUGCAAGAUUCUAUGUUACCUGUCCUCGGUCCACUUGGAAUCUCUUGAGAGAGCCGAGUCCUGUGUGUUCCUAGGCCCUGCCACAGGGACCUGGACGCCCUGCCUGUUGAGGCAAGGUUGUGGAUGUCCCGUGCCUUAUGGUCCCUGCUUCGCAUGAUGUGGGGCAGCAUCCAUCUGAACGCUCAUCACUACCAAGGCCAAGGUUUUGGAAGGAAGUCCUUCUUCUCCCAUCUUAGUAUUAGACCAUCGGAUUUGGGACACGGGACUAAGGCCGCUGACUCUGCAUCCCUUACAAGCAUACACAGCUGCCUGCCCUUUUGCCUUGUGUCCAUCCUGGAGCGGCCUUCUGCAAGAUUCUAUGUUACCUGUCCUCGGUCCACUUGGAAUCUCUUGAGAGAGCCGAGUCCUGUGUGUUCCUAGGCCCUGCCACAGGGACCUGGACGCCCUGCCUGUUGAGGCAAGGUUGUGGAUGUCCCGUGCCUUAUGGUCCCUGCUUCGCAUGAUGUGGGGCAGCAUCCAUCUGAACGCUCAUCACUACCAAGGCCAAGGUUUUGGAAGGAAGUCCUUCUUCUCCCAUCUUAGUAUUAGACCAUCGGAUUUGGGACACGGGACUAAGGCCGCUGACUCUGCAUCCCUUACAAGCAUACACAGCUGCCUGCCCUUUUGCCUUGUGUCCAUCCUGGAGCGGCCUUCUGCAAGAUUCUAUGUUACCUGUCCUCGGUCCACUUGGAAUCUCUUGAGAGAGCCGAGUCCUGUGUGUUCCUAGGCCCUGCCACAGGGACCUGGACGCCCUGCCUGUUGAGGCAAGGUUGUGGUUGUCCCGGGCCUUAUGGUCCCUGCUUCGCAUGAUGUGGGGCAGCAUCCAUCUGAACGCUCAUCACUACCAAGGCCAAGGUUUUGGAAGGAAGUCCUUCUUCUCCCAUCUUAGUAUUAGACCAUCGGAUUUGGGACACGGGACUAAGGCCGCUGACUCUGCAUCCCUUACAAGCAUACACAGCUGCCUGCCCUUUUGCCUUGUGUCCAUCCUGGAGCGGCCUUCUGCAAGAUUCUAUGUUACCUGUCCUCGGUCCACUUGGAAUCUCUUGAGAGAGCCGAGUCCUGUGUGUUCCUAGGCCCUGCCACAGGUAGGUGGGUGUCCACAGAGGAUACAGAGAGUUCCAUGCCUGACAGGGUCUUGGGGAAGUUAGAGAACGGAAAGAGAAGUUUCCUGAGUGGUGCCUGGUAUUUGGU